GACCGCAAGGCCUUGACGCUUGGAGAGGAGCCCGCGCCUGAUUAGCUAGUUGGCGGGGUAAUGGCCCACCAAGGCGACGAUCAGUAGCCGGCCUGAGAGGGCGGACGGCCACACUAGGGACUGAGACACGGCCCAGACUCCUACGGGAGGCAGCAGUGGGGAAUUGUUCGCAAUGGGCGCAAGCCUGACGACGCAACGCCGCGUGGAGGAUGAAGGUCUUCGGAUCGUAAACUCCUGUUGAUCGGGACGAAAA
RNAcentral lists this ribosomal RNA (253 nucleotides) under uncultured Acidobacteriota bacterium. Its description in RNAcentral is "uncultured Acidobacteria bacterium partial 16S ribosomal RNA". It matches the Rfam family "Bacterial small subunit ribosomal RNA", at positions 197 to 451 of the family's 1533-position model. Lineage: Bacteria; Pseudomonadati; Acidobacteriota. The record is from RNAcentral.